Molecule: transfer RNA, 38 nt
Filed under: Orinocodoras eigenmanni
Lineage: Eukaryota; Metazoa; Chordata; Actinopteri; Siluriformes; Doradidae
Also listed under: 9 other names
Description: partial tRNA-Val
Source: RNAcentral
ACACCGAGAAGACAUCCAUGCAAGUUGGAUCGUCCUGA